CCUACGGGGUGCUGCAGUGGGGAAUAUUGGACAAUGGGCGAAAGCCUGAUCCAGCUAUGCCGCGUGUGUGAAGAAGGCCUUCGGGUUGUAAAGCACUUUCAGUGGGGAAGAAAGCCUUGGGGCUAAUACCCUCGAGGAAGGACAUCACCCACAGAAGAAGCACCGGCUAACUCCGUGCCAGCAGCCGCGGUAAUACGGAGGGUGCGAGCGUUAAUCGGAAUUACUGGGCGUAAAGCGCGCGUAGGCGGUCUGAUAAGCCGGUUGUGAAAGCCCCGGGCUCAACCUGGGAACGGCAUCCGGAACUGUCAGGCUAGAGUGCAGGAGAGGAAGGUAGAAUUCCCGGUGUAGCGGUGAAAUGCGUAGAGAUCGGGAGGAAUACCAGUGGCGAAGGCGGCCUUCUGGACUGACACUGACGCUGAGGUGCGAAAGCGUGGGUAGCAAACAGGAUUAGAUACCCGAGUAGUC
Molecule: ribosomal RNA, 465 nt
Filed under: Vreelandella stevensii
Lineage: Bacteria; Pseudomonadati; Pseudomonadota; Gammaproteobacteria; Oceanospirillales; Halomonadaceae
Description: partial 16S ribosomal RNA
Rfam family: Bacterial small subunit ribosomal RNA
Source: RNAcentral